GGCGCGGCCCGGCCCGGCUUCAUCCGCCGGAAUCCGCUGCCAUCCGCGGCCGGGGCCGCUCCCACGGACCGGGAAAGGAGCGGGGGCGGCUCGGGGCGAGAUCCUUCUGCUCCAUUGGGCCCCGCCACCGCCGCGCUGAGAUUCCUGCUCUGACGAUCCGGAGGGACGUAAGAAAUCCCCAGGAAUGAGGAGGUGAAAAUCUGGUAGAUCACCCAUUUUCAGGAAAAAUGGAUGGCAGCCUCCCGGAAAAGCUUGCCGUGCUGCUCACUUGCGCGCUGGAUACCGACGUAGGGGUCCCCUCUCCGACAAUCCUCACCUUGGCUUGUUCUUCCCAGAGCUUCGAGUUAUACCGGGGUUUAACUGGGGAUACUGGGAUGAUAACGAUAACCGGCGUUUUAAUAAAUAACUGAUUUCUU
Molecule: long non-coding RNA, 416 nt
Organism: Grus americana (Whooping crane)
Lineage: Eukaryota; Metazoa; Chordata; Aves; Gruiformes; Gruidae
Exons: 4
Source: RefSeq, a predicted model, not a curated record